GUUUCAGUGAGGCUGCCUCUUUCUGGGGUUGUCGAACUGAGAUUUAGCAAGGAGGGUUAAGUCGUAACAAGGUAUCUGUAGGGGAACCUGCAGAUGGAUCACCUCCU
This 107-nucleotide ribosomal RNA is filed under the name Candidatus Methanomethylophilaceae archaeon. RNAcentral's name for it is "partial 16S ribosomal RNA". It matches the Rfam family "Archaeal small subunit ribosomal RNA", at positions 1371 to 1478 of the family's 1478-position model. Lineage: Archaea; Methanobacteriati; Thermoplasmatota; Thermoplasmata; Methanomassiliicoccales; Methanomethylophilaceae. The record is from RNAcentral.